CUGAAAUUUACUUAUAAGCUGGUACAAGUACAAGUCUUCACGGUCCCGCUCCAUUACACCACCAAACUAAAACACCUCUUUUCCUCUACAAAGUGUCACCCAUCGUCCACAACAUUUUCUUAGUCUAGCCUCUCCAGAGAGAAUUUUUUAGCCAACACAGCUUAGAAUGUUUUCUGUCUACUCUGAAAUUUAAAAAACAAAAAAACAGAAACAAAACAACAGUAAGCACCUACAGAGUUCAACUAAUCAGUUAAUAUCCAUAUUUAAUGAAUGCCCUUUACUUUAAGGAUAUACUAGGUGAAACUUCCCCAUCCAGAGAUGGUGUUAAAGAACUUACUAGAAUUGCUGAAUGUGCCAAUUCAGUAACGGAGCCCCAACAGAUACA
Molecule: long non-coding RNA, 385 nt
Organism: Phyllostomus discolor (pale spear-nosed bat)
Lineage: Eukaryota; Metazoa; Chordata; Mammalia; Chiroptera; Phyllostomidae
Exons: 2
Source: RefSeq, a predicted model, not a curated record